This 457-nucleotide long non-coding RNA is filed under the name Physcomitrium patens. RNAcentral describes it as "long non-coding RNA (PPAT_LNC000364)". Lineage: Eukaryota; Viridiplantae; Streptophyta; Bryopsida; Funariales; Funariaceae. The record is from RNAcentral.
AUUCUUCAAACUUGUCAUGACUUUUUAGUAGCCAGUGUUGUGUUGUGAUAUAACUAUAUGAUAAAAAUAUAUCUAAAAAUGAUUUUUUAAUUAAUAUUCUAUUACCUUAAUUCAACAAGAAUUCAAUAUAUUUUAAUAAGGCUUUUAUGAUAGCAUUUUAGCAUAUUAUCUUGACUUAAUAGAAAAUACAUAAAAAUUAUUAUUUUUAUCUUCUAGGAUAUAAAAACUCUUUUACUACCUUAGAAAGGCCAUAAAUUAAUAAAAUCAGGAUAGAAGGGAUAAAUGGUUGCUAUGGUUGAUAUAAAAAUUAAAUUAAGGAUAGAAUCAAGCUAAAAAAUCUUUAAGAUAGGUUAGAUUGAUAUCCAAAGGUUGACUAUUUGUGAGACAAGGUUGAAAUUAGACAUCUAGCCACAAAAAUGAUGACCUAAGAUAAAAUAUGAGAGAUUUGGAAGAUUAG